CGGGACACGUGGUAUCCUGUCUGAAUAUGGGGGGACCAUCCUCCAAGGCUAAAUACUCCUGACUGACCGAUAGUGAACCAGUACCGUGAGGGAAAGGCGAAAAGAACCCCGGCGAGGGGAGUGAAAAAGAACCUGAAACCGUGUACGUACAAGCAGUGGGAGCACAGGUUUACCUGUGUGACUGCGUACCUUUUGUAUAAUGGGUCAGCGACUUAUAUUCUGUAGCAAGGUUAACCGAAUAGGGGAGCCGGAGGGAAACCGAGUCUUAAUUGGGCGUUAAGUUGCAGGGUAUAGACCCGAAACCCGGUGAUCUAGCCAUGGGCAGGUUGAAGGUUGGGUAACACUAACUGGAGGACCGAACCGACUAAUGUUGAAAAAUUAGCGGAUGACCUGUGGCUGGGGGUGAAAGGCCAAUCAAACCGGGAGAUAGCUGGUUCUCCCCGAAAGCUAUUUAGGUAGCGCCUCGUGAAUUCAUCUCCGGGGGUAGAGCACUGUUUCGGCUAGGGGGCCAUCCCGGCUUACCAACCCGAUGCAAACUGCGAAUACCGGAGAAUGUUAUCACGGGAGACACACGGCGGGUGCUAACGUCCGUCGUGAAGAGGGAAACAACCCAGACCGCCAGCUAAGGUCCCAAAGUCAUGGUUAAGUGGGAAACGAUGUGGGAAGGCCCAGACAGCCAGGAUGUUGGCUUAGAAGCAGCCAUCAUUUAAAGAAAGCGUAAUAGCUCACUGGUCGAGUCGGCCUGCGCGGAAGAUGUAACGGGGCUAAACCAUGCACCGAAGCUGCGGCAGCGACACUGUGUGUUGUUGGGUAGGGGAGCGUUCUGUAAGCCUGCGAAGGUGGCCUGUGAGGGUUGCUGGAGGUAUCAGAAGUGCGAAUGCUGACAUAAGUAACGAUAAAGCGGGUGAAAAGCCCGCUCGCCGGAAGACCAAGGGUUCCUGUCCAACGUUAAUCGGGGCAGGGUGAGUCGACCCCUAAGGCGAGGCCGAAAGGCGUAGUCGAUGGGAAACGGGUUAAUAUUCCCGUACUUGGUGUUACUGCGAAGGGGGGACGGAGAAGGCUAUGUUGGCCGGGCGACGGUUGUCCCGGUUUAAGCGUGUAGGUGUGUGUUCCAGGUAAAUCCGGUUCACUUUAACACUGAGGCGUGACGACGAGGCACUACGGUGCUGAAGCAACAAAUGCCCUGCUUCCAGGAAAAGCCUCUAAGCAUCAGGUAACAUCAAAUCGUACCCCAAACCGACACAGGUGGUCAGGUAGAGAAUACCAAGGCGCUUGAGAGAACUCGGGUGAAGGAACUAGGCAAAAUGGUGCCGUAACUUCGGGAGAAGGCACGCUGACACGUAGGUGAAGUGAUUUACUCAUGGAGCUGAAGUCAGUCGAAGAUACCAGCUGGCUGCAACUGUUUAUUAAAAACACAGCACUGUGCAAACACGAAAGUGGACGUAUACGGUGUGACGCCUGCCCGGUGCCGGAAGGUUAAUUGAUGGGGUCAGCGCAAGCGAAGCUCCUGAUCGAAGCCCCGGUAAACGGCGGCCGUAACUAUAACGGUCCUAAGGUAGCGAAAUUCCUUGUCGGGUAAGUUCCGACCUGCACGAAUGGCGUAAUGAUGGCCAGGCUGUCUCCACCCGAGACUCAGUGAAAUUGAACUCGCUGUGAAGAUGCAGUGUACCCGCGGCAAGACGGAAAGACCCCGUGAACCUUUACUAUAGCUUGACACUGAACAUUGAGCCUUGAUGUGUAGGAUAGGUGGGAGGCUUUGAAGUGUGGACGCCAGUCUGCAUGGAGCCGACCUUGAAAUACCACCCUUUAAUGUUUGAUGUUCUAACGUGGACCCGUUACCCGGGUUGCGGACAGUGUCUGGUGGGUAGUUUGACUGGGGCGGUCUCCUCCUAAAGAGUAACGGAGGAGCACGAAGGUUGGCUAAUCCUGGUCGGACAUCAGGAGGUUAGUGCAAUGGCAUAAGCCAGCUUGACUGCGAGCGUGACGGCGCGAGCAGGUGCGAAAGCAGGUCAUAGUGAUCCGGUGGUUCUGAAUGGAAGGGCCAUCGCUCAACGGAUAAAAGGUACUCCGGGGAUAACAGGCUGAUACCGCCCAAGAGUUCAUAUCGACGGCGGUGUUUGGCACCUCGAUGUCGGCUCAUCACAUCCUGGGGCUGAAGUAGGUCCCAAGGGUAUGGCUGUUCGCCAUUUAAAGUGGUACGCGAGCUGGGUUUAGAACGUCGUGAGACAGUUCGGUCCCUAUCUGCCGUGGGCGCUGGAGAACUGAGGGGGGCUGCUCCUAGUACGAGAGGACCGGAGUGGACGCAUCACUGGUGUUCGGGUUGUCAUGCCAAUGGCACUGCCCGGUAGCUAAAUGCGGAAGAGAUAAGUGCUGAAAGCAUCUAAGCACGAAACUUGCCCCGAG
RNAcentral lists this ribosomal RNA (2403 nucleotides) under Salmonella enterica subsp. enterica serovar Enteritidis. RNAcentral describes it as "partial 23S ribosomal RNA". It matches the Rfam family "Bacterial large subunit ribosomal RNA", at positions 418 to 2803 of the family's 2925-position model. Lineage: Bacteria; Pseudomonadati; Pseudomonadota; Gammaproteobacteria; Enterobacterales; Enterobacteriaceae. The record is from RNAcentral.